UUUCAUUCCAUUGUUCAUCAUUCUCUCUAGAAUAUCUGAGACCCUGGCAACAAGGACUUGGGAUCUUCGAAGGACAUCCGCGAUCUGCUUUGAAUUACUCAUCCGAACCAAAUCCCAAACAUCCUCAUUGGUAAAAGCCUUUGGGAUCCCAUAACAACCAACGAGAAGAAGCAAACCCCUGGAAUCAAUGUCGCUGGCUUUCCCCAGACCACCCUCAGCUAUAAGCCUCUUUCUCCAAGCCAGCGCAGCCUGCUCCGCUUCCUGCUUCACGGCGGAGUCAAAUGCCAUUGUCAAUUAUUUGCAAAAAGAAUUCCAAAACUAAAAUGCUAGCUUUUCUCCCAGGAAUCAUAGGAGAAUUCUUGGUGUAGGCCCGGCUUCCCUGCAGAUAAAACCGCCCGAUGCAAUCCAGCACUAGCUUGGCAGGAUUCUGCGCGCAUUUAAGGGCGGAAGGAACUUCAGCUCUAAGCUUCCGGAUAUUGGUUAGAUGUGAGGUAAGAUAUCUACGGAGGUCUUUGCCACACAUCAUUUCGCAAAGAAUUAAAAGCUCCGACUUGGCUGGCGCAGAACUUGUUGUGCCUGUUUCUGUUGUCGUUUGUUUGGCAGUGACUAUUGGUCUUGGCGGGAGUGCGGCAUCCAUAGCGCUCUGGAUGAAAUCAAGAUGUUUUUGCAAUUCCUGAAAUCUUCGAUAAAAUUCGUUAAUGACAGCAGAGAGAUUGCAGAGUUCGUCAAUUGAUUUAAAAAAAUGUGCUCCCUUUGGUUCAUCCCGUUUGGGUUGCUGUCGGUCAGGUACCUGAAGAGCAACAACCGAGAACUCUUGUGGUUCCUGUUUGACCUGAGAUUGUGGUGGCGCCAAUUGGUAUUGCGGUGGUGUUGGAGUGGAUUGAUGUUCCUGUUUAACAUGGGCGAGGGAAGGUGGAUGGUCGGUGGAAUUGAAGAUGGUGAAAAUGGGCAAAGGAGGUGUCGCCAUGGGAGAAGAGUAGAGAAUCUGUGCCCUAAUUUUUGAUAUAUUAUAAGUCUGAUACAACUAUGGAAGCCGAAAAGACCUAAUGAUUCACCGGUAUGAUGAAACCGUCCGGUAACGAAGCGUGGGCUUUAUUUCUCGUUUUGGUUUUUUUGAUACAACAGAAUGCUUGGGCUUUAUUUCAUGGAAGGAGAUCCUUC
Molecule: unclassified non-coding RNA, 1161 nt
Filed under: Hevea brasiliensis (rubber tree)
Lineage: Eukaryota; Viridiplantae; Streptophyta; Magnoliopsida; Malpighiales; Euphorbiaceae
Source: RNAcentral